GAUGAAGAACGCAGCGAAACGCGAUAAGUAAUGUGAAUUGCAGAAUUCAGUGAAUCAUCGAAUCUUUGAACGCACAUUGCGCCCCCUGGUAUUCCGGGGGGCAUGCCUGUUCGAGCGUCAUUUCACCACUCAAGCCUCGCUUGGUAUUGGGCAACGCGGUCCGCCGCGUGCCUCAAAUCGACCGGCUGGGUCUUCUGUCCCCUAAGCGUUGUGGAAACUUUCGCUAAAGGGUGUUCGGGAGGCUACGCCGUAAAACAACCCCAUUUCUAAGGUUGACCUCGGAUCAGGUAGGGAUACCCGCUGAACUUAAGCAUAUCAAUAAGCGGAGGA
Molecule: unclassified non-coding RNA, 330 nt
Filed under: soil metagenome
Description: partial contains 5.8S ribosomal RNA, internal transcribed spacer 2, and large subunit ribosomal RNA
Rfam family: 5.8S ribosomal RNA (bases 1-120)
Source: RNAcentral